Molecule: long non-coding RNA, 7486 nt
Organism: Equus asinus (donkey)
Lineage: Eukaryota; Metazoa; Chordata; Mammalia; Perissodactyla; Equidae
Source: Ensembl
CUCCAAUGCAAAUAAGUAGCAAUUAAAAAAAUUUAUCCCAGUCAUGGGUUGAAAUUACAAGGAACAAGAUGAAAUUUGAAAGAACUAGUUCAAGCCAAAUAACAUGCCUGCAAUACUUUCAAACAGUAUGGUACAGGGCUUGAAGAAAUACAACACAAGGCAAAAGUGGUAAGAUAGUUAAAAAUGCAGUGUAUUGAGGGAUACAUUUAAUAAGAAUGUAACGGGCAUAAGAAAAAAAUUAAGGUGUUUUUCUCAUUUUCUCAUGUGAUAUCAAGGAUAUAAAAUCCCCUUGAAAGCACAGUAUAUCUUUGUACCUGAACCUUCCAUCUGUCUUAACACAGUGCUUUGCAGAGGAAAUGUCUGUUGAACCAGCAAUAUUUCUAUUCACAUAUGAUUACAUUAAAAGCAAAUUGCAGAUCUCUGGAAGAGAAAAGUCAUAAAUGGUUUAUUUAAACCACAUAAAAAUGAAGUGAGUGUUCAAAUGAACAGUUUCAAAUUCAAAUCUCAACCCACAGCGGAUGGCUAUCUAUGUAAAGGCCUGGGAGUGGAGGUAGGGGAAGGAGCUGAGAAGCUGGGGAGACUGUGGAGUUCAGGCUCCACAGGGAAUAGUUCCUUACUAUAUGUUUCAUAAAUGAUUUAAACUACUGAGGGUGGGUGGGGAUCAUAUUUUUAACUUCUACCUCCCUGAGCCUAGCAUAGUACCUGACACACACUAGGUACUCAACAAAUAGUUACUGAAUGAAGAAGAAAGAGAACAAAAGGCAUUAAAUUCUUAGAUGACACCAAACCAAAGAAGAGAGAGAGUGGAUGAUAACUGACAUCUUGCUUUUGAAUAUGUACCCCAUUCUUAAAAAUGUUUCACCAUGCACAACCACCUGUAAAUUACAUAUUUGUGACCUCCUGUAUACCCAAAACAUAUACCCAUAAAUAAUGUAUUUGUGACCUCCUAUACUAAUAUAUUGUACACCUUGUAAAAUAUAAACCCCAAAUUUAAAAAGAUGAAGUAAUCAAUAUAUUUAAAAUAAUUUAAUGGUAUUUUAUUAAUAGUGUCAGAACCUUUUUGCUGUCAUUUGAUUCUCUAUUACUUUGUACUUUUUAAAAUUCUUAGUUUAACACUUUGUGAUAUCAUGAUUUGAAGAUCUGGUUCUAAGUUUAGUUUAUUUUAAUAGCUAUCAUAGCUGAAAAAGAUAUUUAGAUUUAAAUGGAAGAAAUGCAUUUUUGUUGGCCAUACCUAUUAAAAAGUACCCAUUUUCUCAGCAACCAUUCUGCAAAGGUUUUGGUUGAAGUUCAACUAGUAAAUUUCCAUUUUCUCUGCUAUCAAUCAGCAAUUCUUGCAAACUAAUUUAAAGGCAUUGCAUUUUACCUUUUCAAUAGAUAAAUUUAAGACCCACUGAAAUUCAUUAUUUAGAAAAUAUUUAAACAAAUAGAAAAUUAUGUUUGCAAAAUUUUUAGGUGUGCAUAUAUUAGGGUUUUAAUAGGACACAUACACACUGGUUUUUGCAACAAAAUUACAUACUAAUGGAAAUAUUUCCAAGCAUCAUUUUCAAAACAUUCUCUCCAAAGUAUUUCUUUCAAAACACAUGUACACUUUUUAAGGGGGGCGGGGUGGUGGAUGGAAUUAUUCUCUCACUCGUUGCCAAAACUUUACUUUUUUUUUUUUUUAAAGAUUUUUUUUAUGUUUUCCUUUUUCUCCCCAUAGCCCCCCGGUACAUAGUUGUAUAUUCUUCGUUGUGGGUCCUUCUAGUUGUGGCAUGUGGGACGCUGCCUCAGCGUGGUUUGAUGAGCAGUGUCAUGUCCACGCCCAGGAUUCGAACCAACGAAACACUGGGCUGCCUGCAGCGGAGCGGGCGAACUUAACCACUCGGCCACAGGGCCAGCCCCCCAAAACUUUACUUUUAAAGGAAAGUACUAACAGAUGAGAUAGGGAAAUUUGGAUCCCUUGUAUUUUUGUCAGAGGAAAAUGCAUCAUUCAUCUCCAUAUUUAACUAUUCUUUUAAGUUAUAGUAACAGUGCUUAUGUAGAGCUUAUUUUGGUGGUAGAUUUAUAUGUAUUAAUUCUCUUCACCCUCAGUACAACCCAGUGCAGUAGACACUAUUAUGAUCUCCAUUUUACAGAUGAAGAAAUUGAACCCCAGAGAUGCUAAGUAAUUUGCCCAAGGUUACAUGGCUGGUGAUGGCAGAACUAUGGUCAGAACCAGGCAAUGCGUUAUCCAGGAGCUGUGUUUUUAGCCCCAAGUAUCUUGAAUACUUUGAUGGAAGAUAAAGAGUUUCCACAACUACUUCCCAUCUCAGUACAAAGUAUUAUAUAGAUUCUAUUGAAAGGAUUUGUUUUACAAAUUUAACCUCGAUGAUCUCCUAUACCACACAAAAGUGCAAUACACUGAAUGUGCAUGAAGGAGAGUUUCCCUUCAAGUGGAAGCCCACCCUUCUCAGGACACCUCACAGAGCAUACGUAUGGCUGACUGACAAAGGACUGUGUGAGCGCGCCAGUGUCAACAUGUGCAUGUUAAAUAAUUAAGCUUAAUUUCUUUCUUUUUAGAUAAAACAAAAUAAAUAGCCAUUGGGAUAUUUUCUUUCUGGACUAUAGUAGAUUGUCUUGUGCACCCCUAGGAUGUGCACCCUCCACUUUGGAUGUCUUUUGUCUUAACAGAUAUUAUGACACUCAAAAUUACCCAGGAAAAGUACAGUUUCAGUAAAAUAGGUGCAGAGGAGUUCAAUAGGAUAAUCAAAACAACCUAUUAAAUAUAAUGUGAAAAAUAUAAGUAAGCUAAACAAGCAUAUAGAGUUCAGAUUUUAAAAUCUGAUAAUGAUGAAAUGUAAUUUUAAAUGUACAAAUAAUUGUAGGUUGCAUCACAGGAAUGUGAAUUGAAGACCUGAGAGAGAAUACUCUCACCAUGCUAAGGACUUACCCAAUCCUUUAUAGAGGUCCAUGUCUCCUACUGGGCAUUUCAUCUAAAGAAGAAUGCGGAGAAUUUGGAAAGCAUUCGCAUGAGAGUCAUAAAACAUAAAAAAAAAAAGUGUGAGAAAAUAUUAAAAGAACUGGGAUUGUUUAUUCUAGAAAAUCUAGGGAAUUUAAGCGUCUUCCGGUAUAUGAAGAAUUAUAAUCCCUUAAAGUCUAUUUAAGUCUUUGACACAUCUGGUUGAGCCAGACACAGAUUCCUUAGAGAAUUAGUUAAGGAAAUCACAGCAACGCACCUCUUUAAGCCAGAGGCUAUUAAGCCUUUGCUUUUGAAAUGGGUUCAAUCAUUAAUUGCACAUAAUUGACAGUAAAUAACUGAGUCACCAAAUGAACAGUAUUUAAGAAAAGCUAUUAUUUCCUACUGAUAAGCAACUAAAAUAUUUAUUAUCUUCAAAGUCUGCCUAGUAGGUUUGAGCUCAAAGGCCUAAUAAGGUUCUCUGAGGAACAUAGUAACUGCUGACACAAUUUAUGUAAAUAAGUUAUUGUCAACUAUUAACAGACAUAGUUUACGUACACAAUAGAUUAUCCAAACAAGAGACAGAAAAAAGAAAGAGGAAAUGAGAGAGAAAAAAAGGAGCGAUUUAUAUUUUGUUCUUGAUACCCAUAAUAACUAGAUUAGAAGACAAUGAGAUUUACCUAAUAGGGAAGGAUAAUAGUUUUACUUUACAUAAUUAAUGGUCUUAGCAAGAUUUAAAGUAAUUUCUAGCUACUUUUUAUCAAAAAGCUGAUGCUAGCAGUUUAAGGGUUCUGAUCUCCUAACACUUGCCUUUGGUUUUUCUCACGACUCUAAUAUAGAAAGUGAGAAAGUCCUGUGAUCUGAAAAGCCUUGCAUUUGACCCUAAUGUAGUCUUGCUUUAAAAUAGAAUUUUUCUCUUUAUUACAAAACGCACUGAACUUCAGGCGUUUCAGUUUGAGUUUGAACAUGGCUAAUCUGGAGCAAGAAAGAUGUUGAGCCUGGGCCACUCCCAUCCCCGACACACAACAUGAGCGCUCUCUGAACCAUUUUCCAGAUCAAAGAAACAGGUUCAUUCGGUUUCAUGUCAAGGCGGUAUAAACUCGUCUCUAUUUCAGUUCCUGUGAGUCUCGGAGUUUUUCUAACUAUAUCUUGGGUUGCUUUGGGUUGUAUUAAAUUAUUUUCCUCAGAAAAUUCAAUAAAUUGGUCACUUUAAUGCCCAUAUUCCUACCUAUUUUUUACAGCAGGCUUUUCCUGCUGAUUACUUUCUGAGCCAACUCAUGACUAGGAACAUGUCUUAAACUACUUCCCUCAUAAAAAUGGUUUUCUUUUUUGCGAAGUUGUGGGCUGCUGCCGUUGGUGUUAUCAACAUAGCUGGAAACUAUAGCAACAACUCAUGAUGUCUGAGCCACUUAAAUAGAUGAGUCUGUAGUAGAAUGAACGAAAAUGUGCCAUAAAAGCAAUGCAAGUAAUAUGAAUCAAAAACAUCUUUGCUUUUGUAAUCAUGUAGUUGGUAGCAUUAUUCUUACUUCUCUAGUACUGGUGAUUUAUCUGCUAUAAAACAAAUAUUCUAACAAAUAUUUGCCCUCACUUCCAUUACCAGCUGGCUUAUCAAUAGAAGUUAUUCAGGUCCUGUGGCUGCCAUUUGUCAAUUUUUCUCCCUAAGAGAAGUUAUAUUUCUUGUAUUGUUAUGCUCCUUAACUCCUCGAAAGUUACAAUAAAAGAACUACAAAUAACAGAGGAUCCUAUCAUUAUAUGACAAGUCAUAUGGUUCCAUAUCAGGCACUAUUUUAGAGAAAAGGUUUUCCGUUUUGAAAAAUGGAGGAUGACAACCAAGCACUUAUCUCAUUGGAAUAUACUGUCUAGAAGAAAACAUUGUAUUACCUGGUUAGGUAGUUUUUUUGUUUUAAUAUUGGGAUCAACAAUUUAUAGUACGGCCAGGCCAAUUUUCUAAAAUUCUGAACAUAACGAUAUCUUAGUAUUUCUUUUAUGAUUUUUUUCCUGUUAACUUUUAGGACUUCUACAAAAAAAACCAAAACUCUAAAAUUUGAUCAUUCCUUAUACUAGUACAAAUGAAAUAUAAAAUAUUGGCAUUUUUCUACCUGUUAUAGGUAAUAAUAAUGAUGAUGACAAUAGCAGUCAAUUGAUACUAUGUUCCAGUAUUCUACAAGUUAAUUUAAUCCUCAAUUUCAUGAGAUAAGCACUAUUAUUAUCUCUGUUUUACUGAGGAGGGAAAAGUACUAUUAUCAUCCUCUUGUUAUUGAUGAAUCCAGUACUCGAGAGGUGAAAUAAUUUGCAGAAAGUAGAAAGUGACAGAGCCAGAAUUUAAACCUGGGUCUGACCUCUUCCAAAGCUUGUGUUCAUAUCUGUGGGAAGUGGCGUGUGUGUGUGUAUAUGCGUGUUCUUCACAGCCGGAGGACAAAUUUAUCUUGGAAAUGUAAUGGUUCCCAGACGUUAGUUUAAAAAAAAAAAAAAAGAAACAAAGGUUGAAAUGUGCUGAUAGCCAGGUAUUUGUCUCUAAAACGAGAAUGAUGUCAUUCCACUUGGAGUUCAUUGACACAAAACUUCCUUUUGUCUGAGGAAUUUUUCAGCACUGUGAAUAUGGCUUUAAUUAAGAGAGACACUGACCACUUGUUGAUUUUGUUACAAGGAAGGAAAUUCUCUGUGCCUUAUUGUGUGUAUUGCUUUGUGUGUGGAUCACAGUGAAAAUGUAUAAAGGACCAUUGGCAAUGUGUUGAUUUGUGUCUACUGCAUUUUAUAUCUACUUCCAUAUGCCACAGAGAACCAUUGUUUAGAAAGAUCUGUAGGAUUAUUAUGUUUUGAAGUAUAAAAAUAUGGGAUUCACAAACCAUUUUCUUUCAGAAGGAGAAGGCCAUACUGUGGUAAUUGACAUUAAACAUGAAUAUUCUUACCUUUACCUGUGAGCUAAAUUUUUGACUAUCAUUUUAAAAUAUAAGGAAAUGUUCCCUGAAUUUAGGGAAGCCACAUAUAAAUCCCAGUUCCUCUACUUACCUCUGGAAGUUUACUUGUUCAUAGAUUUGUAGCAAAUUCUCUGGAAUCAGAUGGUGUACAGCAGACAAUUGCCUCAAAAUCUGAAGCACGUUACGCAUAUAGGAAUCUUUAAAUAGUUGUUUGAGUCUAUCUUCAAGUGAUAUCUGAUAAAAUUUAAAUUACAGUAGUGUUGUGCGGCAAAAAACAAACAAAACAAAACACUCUGCUUCAAAAUCUUGACCACUUUACUCCACACCCAUUGAAUCAUAUAAUUCUUAGUUCUCCAUUCACCUUCUGUACCUCUCUUUAUCCUAUCUGGAAAAAAAUAGAGAAAUGGGAGUCAAAAACGCAACUUCUAUAUUUAAAGAAUAAGAAAGAGUAAGAGGAAGCUGUAAAGUGUGCUGACUUGGAGAUUAAUGGGAAUGCAAUAAAUAAAUAAAGUUAGUAAACCUAAAAAGAUGCAUGGAAAGGAAAUUUCUCUGUACACAGAUCUGCCAAUUUGUGAAAGCUCUCUCCUAUCUAUAAACCCAAAGGCCAAAACUCUGCUGAUGAAAAAAGUAGAAAGCUGUUCAAACAAUGCUAAAUGAAGCAUAGCUGUUCCCCUGAAUUAUCUGGAUACUUAUUUCACUUCUCUUGAGUUUCCAGGUGACCCCCAGCCACAUGUCCGCCAGGCCAUUCCUCGGGCGACGCUGAUCCCUCCGGCGGUCCAGCGCUCCUGCUCCUUGCCCACACCAGGGUCGUCUUCACUGGCCGGCCCCGGGCGCCUUGGCCCAAGCGGCUCUCGGGCCCCGGGCAGAGGUCGCUAACACUGAGCAGCGCGAAACGCCGGGGAGUCUGAGCCUCCAGACAGGACCCCCGGCGUCCCUGAGCUUCGCGCACACGGAGAGGCGGGCCGGCCUUCGCGCUGCGGCCCGGGAUCGGAGGGGUCCCCCGGGAAGAGGCCGGACAGCCGGCUUCCGCGGCGGGCGCCUUCCCCGCGCACUGCCCGCCGCCGGUCUCCGGGCCGCCCGCGCCCUCCGCGGGAGGAGCCGCCUGCCGCCGUGACGCGUCAGGGAGGAAACGCCGGCGCCCGGCGGCCCUGCCGGGAAGGAGGAAGCGCGGGUGCGCUCGGCUCCGCGCCCGCCGCGCCGGGAGGAGCCCCGCGGAGCCGGAUUCUGCUUUUUGAUUCCUAAACGCCCGAGUGGUGUCGGUGGACCGACAGUGUUAACCCGUGCGCACCUUCAGAGCGAAGAGGAGCUGGGAACGGGGAGGGAGGGAGACCCCAACCUGAGGUCGAAAGUGGCUGCGGGUCACCUGCGAGGAUCAGGGAUGGAGGAGGCCUCGGGAGUGGAGGGCACGGGAAUCAACCUGUUGUCAGCGGACCUGGUGUCUUGAGACUUUAAUGCCAUUGCUAUCCCUUAAGUUCUCUUGUGAUUUGAACCCUUUCCGUCUCUUUUCAAGUGAAUUUGUCUCUGUUUAUUCCCACACUUUUAGCAUUCGGCUGUACAUCUAGGAGUGCUUUGAGAUUUUUAGAGUUUGUCAUUUUUAGUGGUGGUUACUUGGAGAGAGAGGAAAGAGAAUUCAUCUCUUGAAACUUGAACUCUU